UUUCUUCUCUCAGUCCAACCGGUCGCAGCAGAUGGCCCCGCCCCUCCCUGAGCCUGGUUCUGCCGGAGGUUUCUUCCUGUUAAAAGGGAAGUUUAAAUCCCGGAGGACAAUGUCCACAGCAAAGAAUAAACAGGGCAAACAACAGAAAUAUAAAGUCUCAUGGGCGCACACCACUAACAGCACAAGGAAGAACGAAAUCCACAUGGAGAAUGUGUUGCCUCAUCACUUUACACUCAACUUAUCACAGACACACUGAGGCACCAGGAGACCAGAACCUAAACCCAGGAUAAAGAGUUUCAGUGAAUGUGGUGUUGAAGGUGUGGAGGUGGAUCAGAGUGUCAGAGGAGACUCUGUAGAAGGACAGAGUGCCAGCAGGACAGUCCACAUACACUGCUACUCUGUUAGAGACAGAGGAGGAGGAGGAGGAGGAGGAGGAGGAGGAGGAGGAGGAGAUGGAUGUUUGUCUGUUAUUGUGCCAGACAGAACGAGGACAAAAAUCAGAGCAACUCAGACUCCAGGACUGAUCAUUUUUACCAAACCAACAGUCUUUACUGCCUCCUUUCCUUCUGAUUCUUCUGUAACUCACUGAUAUGAAAA
This is a long non-coding RNA of Oreochromis niloticus (Nile tilapia), 597 nucleotides long. RefSeq lists it as uncharacterized. Lineage: Eukaryota; Metazoa; Chordata; Actinopteri; Cichliformes; Cichlidae. The record is from RefSeq and is a predicted model, not a curated record. The transcript is spliced from 2 exons.